This 58-nucleotide microRNA precursor is filed under the name Caenorhabditis elegans. Its description in RNAcentral is "Cel-Mir-1823-v1_pre stem-loop". The record is from RNAcentral. Lineage: Eukaryota; Metazoa; Nematoda; Chromadorea; Rhabditida; Rhabditidae.
ACCCCUAACCCUAUGCAGUAUUUGGAGCUCAUAAAAUACUGGAAGUGUUUAGGAGUAA